RNAcentral lists this ribosomal RNA (222 nucleotides) under uncultured bacterium. RNAcentral describes it as "partial 16S ribosomal RNA". It matches the Rfam family "Bacterial small subunit ribosomal RNA", at positions 328 to 539 of the family's 1533-position model. The record is from RNAcentral.
ACGCUCGACACCUACGGGGGCAGCAGUAGGGAAUCUUCCACAAUGGACGCAAGUCUGAUGGAGCAACGCCGCGUGAGUGAAGAAGGUCUUCGGAUCGUAAAACUCUGUUGUUAGAGAAGAACACGAGUGAGAGUAACUGUUCAUUCGAUGACGGUAUCUAACCAGCAAGUCACGGCUAACUACGUGUCAGCAGCCGCGGUAAUCUGAGCGGGCUGGCAAGGC